RNAcentral lists this ribosomal RNA (223 nucleotides) under uncultured Actinomycetales bacterium. Its description in RNAcentral is "partial 16S ribosomal RNA". It matches the Rfam family "Bacterial small subunit ribosomal RNA", at positions 108 to 334 of the family's 1533-position model. The record is from RNAcentral. Lineage: Bacteria; Bacillati; Actinomycetota; Actinomycetes; Actinomycetales.
GAGUAACACGUGGGUGAUCUGCCCUGCACUUCGGGAUAAGCUUGGGAAACUGGGUCUAAUACUGGAUAUGACCUUUCUCCUUAUGGGGUUUGGUGGAAAGUUUUCGGUGUAGGAUGAGCCCGCGGCCUAUCAGCUUGUUGGUGGGGUGAUGGCCUACCAAGGCGACGACGGGUAGCCGGCCUGAGAGGGUGAUCGGCCACAUUGGGACUGAGAUACGGCCCAG